GUCCUAGUAGUUUAAUAAAAUAUUGACCUUGUAAGUCAAAGAUUGAGAAUUAAUAUUCUCCUAGGAUU
This 68-nucleotide transfer RNA is filed under the name Pseudobranchus axanthus (narrow-striped dwarf siren). RNAcentral's name for it is "tRNA-Thr". It matches the Rfam family "tRNA". From Rfam's summary of the family: Transfer RNA (tRNA) molecules are approximately 80 nucleotides in length. Their secondary structure includes four short double-helical elements and three loops (D, anti-codon, and T loops). The record is from RNAcentral. Lineage: Eukaryota; Metazoa; Chordata; Amphibia; Caudata; Sirenidae.